RNAcentral lists this ribosomal RNA (1442 nucleotides) under Listeria monocytogenes. RNAcentral describes it as "partial 23S ribosomal RNA". It matches the Rfam family "Bacterial large subunit ribosomal RNA", at positions 1 to 1436 of the family's 2925-position model. Lineage: Bacteria; Bacillati; Bacillota; Bacilli; Caryophanales; Listeriaceae. The record is from RNAcentral.
UUGGUUAAGUUAGAAAGGGCGCACGGUGGAUGCCUUGGCACUAGGAGCCGAAGAAGGACGGGACUAACACCGAUAUGCUUUGGGGAGCUGUACGUAAGCGUUGAUCCAGAGAUUUCCGAAUGGGGGAACCCACUAUCUUUAGUCGGAUAGUAUCCUUACGUGAAUACAUAGCGUGAGGAAGGCAGACCCAGGGAACUGAAACAUCUAAGUACCUGGAGGAAGAGAAAGAAAAAUCGAUUUCCUGAGUAGCGGCGAGCGAAACGGAAAGAGCCCAAACCAAGAAGCUUGCUUCUUGGGGUUGUAGGACACUCUAUACGGAGUUACAAAAGAAAGUUAUAAAUGAAGCGGUCUGGAAAGGCCCGCCAAAGACGGUAACAGCCCGGUAGUUGAAAUGGCUUUCCCUCCAGAGUGGAUCCUGAGUACGGCGGAACACGUGAAAUUCCGUCGGAAUCCGGGAGGACCAUCUCCCAAGGCUAAAUACUCCCUAGUGACCGAUAGUGAACCAGUACCGUGAGGGAAAGGUGAAAAGCACCCCGGAAGGGGAGUGAAACAGUUCCUGAAACCGUGUGCCUACAAGUAGUUAGAGCCCGUUAAUGGGUGAUAGCGUGCCUUUUGUAGAAUGAACCGGCGAGUUACGAUUUGUUGCAAGGUUAAGCGGAAAAAGCGGAGCCGUAGCGAAAGCGAGUCUGAAUAGGGCGCAUAAGUAACAGGUCGUAGACCCGAAACCAGGUGAUCUACCCAUGUCCAGGAUGAAGGUAAGGUAAUACUUACUGGAGGUCCGAACCCACGCACGUUGAAAAGUGCGGGGAUGAGGUGUGGGUAGCGGAGAAAUUCCAAUCGAACUUGGAGAUAGCUGGUUCUCUCCGAAAUAGCUUUAGGGCUAGCCUCGAGGUAAAGAGUCAUGGAGGUAGAGCACUGUUUGGACUAGGGGCCCUUCUCGGGUUACCGAAUUCAGAUAAACUCCGAAUGCCAUGUACUUAUACUCGGGAGUCAGACUGCGAGUGAUAAGAUCCGUAGUCGAAAGGGAAACAGCCCAGACCACCAGUUAAGGUCCCCAAAUAUAUGUUAAGUGGAAAAGGAUGUGGGGUUGCUUAGACAACCAGGAUGUUGGCUUAGAAGCAGCCACCAUUGAAAGAGUGCGUAAUAGCUCACUGGUCGAGUGACCCCGCGCCGAAAAUGUACCGGGGCUAAACAUAUUACCGAAACUGUGGAUGAACCUCUUUAGAGGUUCGUGGUAGGAGAGCGUUCUAAGGGCGGUGAAGUCAGACCGGAAGGACUGGUGGAGCGCUUAGAAGUGAGAAUGCCGGUAUGAGUAGCGAAAGAAGGGUGAGAAUCCCUUCCACCGAAUAUCUAAGGUUUCCUGAGGAAGGCUCGUCCGCUCAGGGUUAGUCGGGACCUAAGCCGAGGCCGAUAGGCGUAGGCGAUGGACAACAGGUAGAGAU